Homo sapiens (human) is the source of this 20405-nucleotide long non-coding RNA. RefSeq lists it as uncharacterized. The record is from RefSeq and is a predicted model, not a curated record. The transcript is spliced from 2 exons. NCBI's taxonomy places the organism in Eukaryota, Metazoa, Chordata, Mammalia, Primates, Hominidae.
CUGCCUCGGCCUCCCAAAGUGCUGGGAUUACAGGCACGAGCCACCAUGCCCAGCCCAAGAUCUCCUCUUCUCUCUGUUAUGUUGCUAUUACCCGGGACACUUUAAUACCAUAAAUAUGUUUUCUAACCUUACUGAGUUAUUUGCUAAUUUAACAUCCUUAUUUUAUUUAGUGUUCCAAUUAUGAGCAUCUGUGGCUUGCAGAAUUGUGUCAACUUGCUAGAGACAGACUUUUGAUUUAGCAUUCGUUUCCAUUUUUAUGCUUAUCUGUCUUUUUUAUUUGUGUUUGCAGAAUUUUCAAUUUCUCAUCAAUCUCUCUGGGUCAUUAUUAUUGUCUUAGCAUCUCAUUGUCCAGAUUUUCAAGAAGUUAAGAAAGCUUAGUCAGAUGGUUGACUAUAUUUUGUAAAUAUAUGACUCAGCUAAUGGCUCUUUGAAAUUUACAUGGACUUUUUUUACUUAGUAGUCUUAGUCUGUGUAAUGCCAUCUUUGAGGGACUUCCAUGCACAAUCUCAUAUCAUCUCCGUAUAUUUGUUUCUAGCUGGGUAUUUGAGGCUAGAUAGACUCACAAGAUGUUUACAGAAACAAAGAUGAGUCAAAAAUCCAAAUCUCCUAAUUAGUGUAAUUUUCAAUAUAGCCCAGUCCUGUCCAGCAUCAGGAGACUUGACAGCCCCCAAACCAAAAGGGCAUCUGAAAUACAUAUUGCUCAUCCCUCCGCCUGCCUCCCCCAUGCCGAGACAGGAGCUGUGGUGAGCGUGUGGAUGGCACAGGCUCUGCGGGUGUCUGACUAGAGAGCCUCAGUUACGCGCUCUCCACCUCAUCACACAGCAGCCCCGUGUAAUAGAAAUCGCUUAUUAUGAGGGUUGGCUAAAUAAAGGCACAUUGUGACCAGUCACAAUUUCUAAAUGAAUCCUCCUGACUGAUCUGGUCCUGACACUUUCAAAGCUGCCGUUAUUACUGAACCUGAACAUGUGGAAAGGACAAGUCAAGACAGAAUGAUAAAAUUCUUGAAUGCUUUUGCUUAAAAUUAUUCAUUCUCUUGUGUGUGUGUAAAUGGGGACACACACACACACAUACACACACUCCAUAGACACUCUCGCAUACUUAAACGGUUCCCUAGGUGCACUUUUAUCAUUUUAUCUCAUCUCACUUUGGUAGUUUCCAUUGUAGUCCUUCUGUAGACUAAUUCUCUAAAUAUUUAGAAAAAUAAGAGGGUCUUUUAUCUGUGUGUAGUCGUGGAUUUUGCUGCCUCUUAAAGCAUUAUCUUUUCUAAGUCCUUAAGUGUUAGAAGUGGGAAAACCAUCUUUCUUUUAAAUUUAGCAAAUGGCACUUAUGUGCAUAUGUACUGAUGCCAUAUACACACUUACACUGUAAUAGAAACAUCGUGGAAAAGCAAACCAUAGGCUUUUAUCAUAGGCAUGAGCUUUUUCCCUCUCAUCUCCGCCUGGAAAGAUGGUUAGGAGAAUGAGAGGCCUCUCUGGAUCUGUAUUUAUAAGCCUUACUGGAAAAAAAAAGUCAAUUAUUUUUUAGACUCAGCUCACACCAUAAUAAAUGUGAAUCUAAACAAUCGCUCAAGUGCUUUCUAAGCAAUGGUUCUAUCUAUGAUCACUCAGACUUCCUUCUUUUAUUUAGUAAAAAGGUAACAAAUAAGAAUGGAGUGCCAUUUGCAUGUUUCUUAUUUUUACUCAAUAUGGAGUCCAGUGGUUGAGUAGGCUCAUCCAGUAGCAAAGAGAAGCAAACAAAAUUGAUUUCCUGUAGCCCACAGUGAUUUUCCCUAGAUUUAGAGAGCAUGUGAUUCCAAGAUGGGUGUGGGGUAAAACUCUCAAGGCUUUCCUGGCGAGAGACCCGGGCAUGCUGGUGGAGAAACCAGACAUCAUGCUUGGGAGGUUGGGGCCUCUCUCCUCCUUGAAUGAGCUCUGUUUUAGGAUGUUGUUCAUGUGAAAGUAUUGCACUUACCUCAGCAUAAAAUGUCAAGCCAUCACAUCCUUGGGAUAGAAACAAUUAAGGAAGGAUUUAUGUUUGUAAAAACAUGUGCCUAUUAAGGUAAGUAAUUAGGGCACAUGAAAGAAAGAUAAUAUGGAGAUGUAAAAAUUGGGGGUUCUGCAGUCAGACCCCCUGGAUUUAAAUCCUAGCUCCACUUGCUGAGUGACCUUGGGCUAGUCAUUGAACCUCUCUGAGCCUCAGCUUCUUUCCCUGUGAAAUGGGGAAACUAAUGGGUUUAUUGUGAGUAUUAAAUGAGUUAAUACAUGCAAAACAAUUCACACAUAGUAAGCAUGAAAUAAAUACUAAUUAUUAUCAUUGUUACGCACUAAGAAAGGAUUUUUGCAACUAAAGUGUCAAAAGAAAUGGAGAUGCUAAAGAAUUAUUUGGCUUUAAAAGAUGAAUUCCAGUACAAAAUGAGGCUGUUUAACAACCAGAUUCCAUAUUACAAUCAGAAAGUUCCAGCAGAGUACCUCAGGCUUCAUCUGGGGAACAUGUUUAAAGGUACCAAUAAUUUUUGGGUUUUUUUUUCCAAUUUUAAUAAAUGAAAUUCUCAUUCCUUUCUGUCUGUCUCUCUGUUAGCGCUAUUGCUUUAUCUUACUCUGUAGUCUGUAUUUCUCUUCCUAGUUUCUUUUUUUUUUAGAACUAGUUGUGAAUUCUUUAUUCUCUCACAUAGACAUAUGACAGUGGGGAAGGAGGGCAUGUGUGUUUCCUAAAUGUUAGCAAGAAGUCUGUCUUGCCAUCUCCAUAGAGUGGAAAAUUCAGCAAGUAGAGUCUGUUAAUGUCAUUCCCCUUCAAAUCACAUUCAAAAGUGUGCUUAAUGCACUGUGUACAUUAAUCAGACAUUUUGAUCAUGAGUAAUGGUGAUGCCUUCAGAAGUUUGGGGUGGGGGUGUGGGUUUUGUAUAUCUUGGAAGGAAUCCUAAGUCCUUGGGUGACUUCGAAGCAGUCUGUAUGGGCGCUCCUCCCACAUCCAUUGCAUCUUUGUCAGACACAUGGCCCCUAGGCUCCACUUUGUCCAUAGGCAUGGAAAGGUGAAAGUGCCUGGGAAUUAAUAUCUCUGGGGACACUCUGAAGCAAUGACUGCUGGUUAUAUGGGUAUAAAUACUCCAGCUCCCUCACCCCUUGGCUAAAGUAAUUCCAAGGCACGUACUUUGCAGUUUUCCAGAGUUACCCUGUGAGAUUCAACUGCCAUCACCCACUGUGGUAGCUGACUUAAUAAUGCAUCCUAUAUUGUGUGGCCGCCUUCCCUUCCCUGUCUAACUUCUCCCUCACUACCCAGACUCUCUGUAUCUCCCAAUACACCACUCACUUGUUCGGGGUCACUUCUGGAGUUUCCAACCCCAGAUGAUGUGCACACUUUCAGAGGUAGAAGUGAAUCUACUAAGCCUAGACUAGGUAUCAUCAAAACCACUCUGGGCUGCAAACUGGCAGGGUGCAGGCCGCAAAUUUGGCAGAGCUCUGCUUUCCCUGGGUUUGGAAUUCCACUGACUCAGAGCCUGAAUAAUCGUGGAGGCAGACCUGUCAAGGUGUUAUCUGAAGAGCUGUUGGGGAAGUGGACCAAGACCACAGCUGCCCAUUCUCUCACCCCACCUUCUUUCUGCAGAGUGGCCCAUUUGUGAUUCAGGAGAAAGAGUGCAGGAGCAGUGGUCAGCAUGCUGUGAUCGAUGAUUUCUGAGCGUGGGUGGGCCUUGACAAAUGCUCCUAUCCACUUCAUUCCCUCUUAAUAGACCCAUCAGACAGGUGCUUGUUGUUUUCCAGUGCCAACCUGGGUAAACCAGUCAUCAUGUGCCCCAGUGUGUCAAAGAAAAUGCCUGCUUCCCAGAAGGUUUCCCACUAAUGGGGAAAAGAAGGUUGAUUCACACAGCCUUUUAUUGCAAACCAAUUCAUUCUUUGGCAAUCUGAAACCAAAACUGCACAUUUAGCCAGGCAGGUCUUUUAAAAGCAUGUCCUUUACCGUACUGUCCAUUGCAGACUCCCAUCCAUAUCUUCUUUCUUGUUUUGUGUUAUCAUUUUUGUGAUGCUUUAAUACUCAAUACAUGAACUGAAGCUAUGUGGCUUCUGUAUCGCAGUGUAUUAGGAUUCCAGAAAGACAUGCAAUCCCUGAGCAGACAAUAAAUUUGAUUUUGCACAAGUGGCAUCCUUUAUACUUUGCUCAUAAGGCGAUCUCUCAAGUGUAUUUUUUUUUCUGAAACACAACACAAAUAGUCUGAUGAAGUAAAAAUGGGUUGCAUGAUGGGUUUUGUGCUCAGCAAAAAGAACUUGGACAAAGCAGCCAUGCUGAUGUUCUUAUUUACAAAGGUUGCCGUCUGGGAAAUUAAUCUCUGCUGUUGCUCAGUAAUUAGGAAAAUUUAGGACCCCUAGUGCUCCAGCAUCUUGCAUUAAAGGUUGUAUGUCAUUGGUGUUUUCAUGAGAGUUUGCUGGAUUUCUGUCAUUAAUAACAGGCAUAAGCCCAGCAAGCAGUAGAAUAUGCAUUGCAUUUAAUCAAUUUGCUAUUUGUAUUCAUUAUGCAUGUCAUCCGUUUUGAGUCAUGAAAAAUUGAAAGGCCAUUACGAAUAGAAAGAGCAUCAUGGAUUACAAAUGAUGUAACAAGAGCAUAAGCGCUAUUAAUUGGUCAAUUGUGCUUGUCGGUACAUUUAAAGUGAUUAAGGCAGAAAGAUUAGAAAGGACACGAAUGUGCUUGGGAAACAGAAGCAUAGCAACACAAGGGCUCUCCCAAGUCCUUUGUGCCCAAAUAAAUGCAGCAAAAUCCAAUGGCAUUUAUUCCAACUAAUUCAUUAAACAGAUAUUAGUUGAGCACUUACCAUGUGCUGAGUACAAGGAUUGUACUGAGUACAGCAGAAAACAAAAUAAGUGAAGCCCUUGACCUCAGGGAUUUACCUUCCAGAGGGGAGGGGGAAGUAUGAAAUGAACAAAUAGAUAUACAAUAUAAUAUAUUGUAGUAGCAGAGACCAUGAAGACCACCAGAAGCAGAGAGGAAGCCCUCUUUGGGGAAAUGACAUUUGAACAGAGGUUUAAAUGAAGAAAAUAAAAAGACAGGGGGUCCGAGCACAGUGGCUCAUGCCUGUAAUCCCAGCACUUUGGGAGGCUGAGGUGGGAAAAUCACUUGAGCCCAGGAGUUUGAGACCUGGGCAACAUGGUGAAACUAUCUCUACAAAAAUACAAAAAUUAGCCAGGCGUGGCAGUGCACACCUGUAGUCCCAGCUACUCAGGAGACUGAGGUGGGAGGAUCGCUUGAGUCCAGGAAGUCGAGGCUGCAGUGAGUCCAGAUCACGCCACUGCACUCCAGCCUAGGUGAUAGAGCGAAACCCUGUCUAAUAAAAGAAAAAUAAAAUUAAAAGGCUACAUGGAUAUCUGGGGGAAGAAUAGACUCAAUAUCCCCCACUCCCAUUCCAACACUCAAGAAGAAAAGAAAAUUCUUGCAAUUAUUUUUUUACUCAAGUGAUUUUGUGAGGCUUGACCCAAUAAUGGAAUGGCUUUGCCAAGGCUAGAGAACUCACUCAGCCGGUUUUCCCAUUACAGACCUCUUGGGUGAUAGCAAUUCUGUUAAAGUGGAAACUGAUGGCAUCAUUUGCCAUUUUUACUGUCCCCAUACAUAGUCCUUACCAUGGCAUGCAGACCCCUACGCUAUCCAGCUCCUGCCUCCCAUUUCAUACCACUCCUCCUUCUCCUGCCAAGUUCUAGCCCCUGGACUUUCUGUUGCUCACAUUUCCAGUUCGUUCCUGCCUCUGCACCCAUGCAUUUGCUGUCUCCUGCCCUCAGAAAUCCAGACCUGAGCUCCCAGGCCACAUCCUCAGAGACACCCUCCAUGACCACCAGGGUUGCACCUGCUCCCUGGCCCCUGUGAUUUGAUCCCACUACACUCAUUACUGCCUGAGUUCUGUGCUAUCUGCUUACUCGUUUCUUACCUACCUCCCAUGUUUGAUAUAAGUUCCAUGAGACUAGGCCCAGGUCACUUGAGUUCACUGCGGUAUCCCAUCACCUGGAACAGUGCCCGGUACAAAGAGGCUCAGUACGCCCAAAUCAAAUGAAUGAAUGAGUGGAUCAAUCAAUCAGCCAACCAGCCAAAAAUAAAAUGAAAAAUUGACAGUUGGGUUUCUGCUUUUGUAUUCGGUAACUAUUUUAAAAUUUUGUAUUUAGGUAGCUAUUUUUUUAAACCACAUGAAAGAAAGGGAUGUUUGUUCUGCACAGCAUUCUCUGGAGUGAUUAGGUAGCAUUGGUAUUUGUGCUUCAUGUGUCUACAAUCUAUUGCCAUGCAUUUCUAAUAACAUAAUAUUCCUUUUCAAUAUACUGACUUGUUUUUCUUUUUCUUUUCUUUUUUGUUUUUACUGGCUAAAUGCUAUAGCAUUGUCUUUGAAUAUUAGCAAAUAAUGGAACAUGGGCCAAGGGUGAACCAUGACGAAUUUGUGUUCCAGCAGCCCUGCUUCUUUAGAAUUGACAGUCUGGCUUCGUGGUUAAUUCACAGCAUCUGAGGAAUACAUCCAAAGAGGGUGAUACUGUGGCAUGAUGGUACCAGGAUUCCAAGUUCAUUCCAGAGAAGAUGGCAAGAUGCAGAGAGGAGGAGUCACGCCUGAAGCCACACAGCUGACAUCAGAGCCAAAGCAUGAGCCUCAGUCUCUCUGACCCAGAGCUACCACCCUUGCUGCCUUGGGAAGAAGGAAGCCCCCUCCUAUUCUAUCCUUGAGCUGCCUUGGCAAGGAGGGGCCCCUUGCUGCCGCCAUCCUCACAGGACACCAUCCACAUGAGGGGAUGGUGAGCUCCACUUCCACCUUUUCUACAUGUCUGCUCUUUAAACUGCACACGUUGAUUCAUUCAUUCAUUCAUUCAUUCAUUCCCUUGAUAUUACCAUUCAUUUAUUCAUCAAGUAUUUAUUGAGCAUAUUUAUCUGCAUGGCAUUGUGCUAAUCGUAAUCAUCAUAUUCACCACUGCUGAGCAGAACAGUCAGGGUGCUGCCCUCAGGGAGUUACCAUGUAGUAAAGGAGACAGAUGGAAUCACACAGAGGAAUGCACGUCUGAUUGUAGCCUGACUGGAGUGCCAUGAAGGAGACCAAGAGGGCAGGGUGAUGGAGAAAGCACAGGAUGAAGUUCUCGUCUUCCUUCCAACAGAAUCUCAGUUGCACUCAGUUGUUGCCCCCCUCGAACCUCCCUUGAGCCUCAGGAGAAACCACCCUGAUUCAGAGGUCCAGAGAAGACCUGACUAGCCCAAGGUAAUUCCGUCCCCUUGCCAGAGUGGCUUGGGCAGGGACACGGGACCUAUUUCAAUGAGGCCAAUGAGACAAAGGUAUUUCUGCUGGGGAGGCAGGGGCUUCAAGCAAAGGGUCUUGCUUGAAAGAGCCACCGGAAGAGGGCUCUCUCCUUCCUUAGGGUGUCACCGUGUCUGGAUGCGAUGCCUGGAAGUGCUACAGCCACUCGCGCCCAGCCUGAAGAUGAAACCAACCCCAAACACAGCCAAGCAGAGAGAUGGAAAGAACUAGGACCCUAAUUACACCACUGAGCAGCUAUAGCAACCAGUUCCAGAGCCCUCUGACUUCCCGCCAAAGUGAGAUGAUAAGAUACUGUUUAAUUUCUCUCUUUUAUAGCCAAACACACCAAAAUUGACACAGAGAUGUGAGCCAUACCUACUACUGUUACUGCUCCAUCCCUAGCUCCAACCACAGUGCAUGGUACAUGGUAGAGAGCCAACAAACACUUGAAGAAUGAAUGGUGCAUAUUGAGUGGGAUUUUCCAGAGGCAGACCUGGAGACAAGGCUUCAAGUGCGUGUGUUGUAUUAAGGAAAUGCUCCCAGGGGACAAUAGCAGAGUGGCAGAAAUGGGACAAGGGGGCCAGGGAGCCAAGAACAGAGAAUCAAUCGUCUAAACAGAGCCCCCUGUUUUUUGUUUCACCUGGGAGUAGCUUCUACCUGAUCCCCAGGGGAACUCUGGGAUGUCAGUGACGGCUCAGCAUUGCCCCUGAGGCAAGGGAGCUGGGCUUUCCUAAUCCCCCACUCCUCAGUCUCUGGCUAAGCGCUGUCCCCAGGGGACUUAAUCACCCAAACACUUCCCCAAGAGUGGCAUCUGCUGACCACUGGAGGCACUGGUACAGUGAAGCGACAGAAGGGAUCAGAGAGGGUCCAGGUGGAGCACAGCAAUGUGGCUGAAUAAUAACUAUAUUAAUUCAUAUAGUUAAUUCUCAAGCAAUGGCAAAGUGUAGGCAGCUUCUUGUCUGCAAACGUUUCCAUGAUAUCUCUCCUGCAGCCAGACGGGUCUUUUCCUGCCGCCUACACAGAAUGGCCAUGGAGCAUCCCCAACUCUUAUUAAAAUGGAAAAAAAAAAAGCCUUUGCAUUUCAAUCUAUUAUUGCACUUUAUGACUCAUCUUCAGGUUCUCUCUGCAAAACAUUGAAAGCCAGAUCAUAAUUUGAUGAUGAAAUAUUGAUUAUGCAUUUGUAUGCAGAGGUCUAUACUAUAUAGAUAGAAUUCCCACCCUGUAGUAUCUUCUAUUUUAAGUCAGUAUGAAGAUGGAUGUUCCCCCCAGGCAAAUUUUGAUAAGAUACUUGUGUCAAUACAAAAAGAGAUUAAUGCCAAUGUGAAUCAAUACCCGCUUAUUGGUUUGGGUUGCUUCUUCUCCACGCAGCAGCUGGCACCAAGAGGGGUUUCCAAACACCAGCGGCUCCCAGCCAAUCUGCAUAUUUCUUUAUUUAAAUCAUGAGAGUGGGAAGUGGCAAGGGAAUGGUGGGUUGGCAGGGGGCUGCCCACGCCCACUCCCAAAUUGAGAAGGGAAUGAAAAUAAAACAAACGCAACUUGUCAACAAAUCUGGGAGAAGCUUUAUUACCAUCAUUAGCAGUGUGCUUGUCCUCUGCUGCUUCCAAAAAGAAUAAACUUCAAAUGACAGAAGAAGAGCGGUCUCCAUCCUUGCUGGGUUCUCAGCGUACAGCAGGGACUGGGCUUAUCUUGACUGUGCAUCUGCUGUGUUUCCUGCCCAGCCCCCACUGCCACCUGCAAUGCCCUAUAUUUAGUGCUUCUUUAAAAUCUCAUUUAUCAUCUCCCAUCCCCACCAAAAAGUAAGGUCCAAAACCACGGAGGAUUUUUUUUUUUUGCGGGGGCGGGGGUGGUAUUUUUUGUUCACUGCUGAAUUUCCAAUGUCUGGAUGUUGAAUUAAUUUCUUUCUGCUUCAUUCAUUCAUCUAACAAAUUGAGCGACUACUAUGUGACAGGGCCCUCCAGGUUCUUGGGAUAUAUCAGUGAACACAACAGACAUUCUAGUGGGUGAUAGGGCAAUAGAGAUAAUUAAUAAGUGCCGUAUGGAAAACAUUAGAAGGCAAUAAUUGCGGCUGGGUGCGGUGGCUCAUGCCUGUAAUCCCAGCACUUUGGGAGGCUGAGGUGGCCGGAUCACCUGAGGUUAGGAGUUCGAGACCAGCCUGACAACACGGUGAAACACCGUCUCUACUAAAAAUACAAAAAAUUAGCCAGGCGUAGCCCAGCUACUCGGGAGGCUGAAGCAGGAGAAUCACUCGCACCAUUGCACUCCAACUUGGGCAAUAAGAGCGAGACUCCGUCUCAAAGAAAAAAAUGCCAGUAAUUGCUAUGAGGGAGUGGAAAGCGAUCAUGGUAAGAAGGAUUGGGUGGGCUGAGGAGAGGAGUUCUAAUUUUAAAUAGGGGGGUCAGGAUCAGCCUCACUGAGAAGGUAAGUGUGAGCAAAGCUGUGCAGGAGGUCAGGGAAUGAGGUAUGUAGCUAUGCAGGGGUGGGCGCUAGGAAUUUCCAGACACAUAGACUGGCUAGUGCAAACAUCCUAAGGUAGGAGUGUGCCUGCUUUAUUUGAGGACCAGAAAUAAAAGGAAUGGCUGGAGGCCGGGUGCGGCGGCUCACGCCUGUAACCCCAGCCCUUUGGGAGGUCGAGGUGGACAGAUCAUCUGAGGUCAGGAGUUCAAGACCAACCUGGCCAACAUGGCAAAACCCCGUAUCUACCAAAAAUACAAAAAUUAGCUGGGCGUGCUGGUACAUGCCUGUAGUCCCAGCUACUUGGGAGGCUGAGGCAGGAGAAUCGCUUGAACCCAGGAGGUGGAGGUCGCAGUGAGCCAAGAUCACACCACUGCACUCCAGCCUGGGUGACAGAGUGAGACUCCAUCUCGGGGGAAAAAAAAAAAAAAAAGGAAUGACUGGAAUGGAAUGAGUGGAUGAUGAUUGGACAAUUAAAUUAAACAAGUGAGUCUGAGGCUUCCAGGGGCCAUCUUGCCCCCCAACCUGCCUCUCCCCAUAAGAAGAAUAAACUAAGUACAGACAGAUCCAGUCUCUUGCUCUGAUCCAGCUAUGCCUCAAGCAACUUCUACCCAACAUUUUUUCAGUGCUUAAGGUAAUAUAAUCCCUUUUUAAAACCACUUGUAACUGAAAUAAUCCUGAUAAAACACUGAGACUCGAGUGCCUAGGACACCUGAGCUUCUGUGCCCACUGUGGGAUCUUAACAAUGUCUGCUGGCUGGUCCUGGGCAGCGGGACGCUCAGCCUCGGAGGGUGAGGCCUGGAAUCCAUCUGUUCGGGGAGGCCUGGACAGCUGACAAGUGAGAAGGAACCUUUCAAAUUUGCAAUUUUCAAGUGUCAGAAGGAUAUUAUGCCGCUCCUCUGACACCUGGCAUCUUAGGCAGAUGUGCCCCGUUUUCUAUCAACACGUCUGCUGUGUAAGGUGUGGCCUUUGCACUCACAGGAUCCGGAACCCACACCUGAGAAUGAGAACUCCAGGUGUUAGCUUCUCCAACAAGUCACAUUGGAAGGACCAGGCAGACCCCUUUCCUUCAAUUACCAAAGUUGGUGACACAACAGUUUCAAAGGAUUCUAUUCAAUUCAACAAGCGCUUUAAGCAGUGGCUCAAGAUGCUAGAGGGUUGGAGAAACACAUGAUUUGGUCUGUCCCCUUAAAAAGAAGAUAAGCCAGUGGGCAAGUGACUUAAUUCAUUUCAUUCACUAUGUGUUCCAUGCUAGAGGCAAGAUACUAGGGGCUAGGAUGGAGACUCCCCAAACAGGCGAAAGAGAUUUGCAUGUGAGUACUUUGUGUGUGACCACUUGUUAUUCAUUGAGCAAACAUGAAGAACUUCCUAAAUGCCCUGCACUCUUUGAGACUCUAAGGACACAGCAGCCAGCAAGAUGGGCAAGAUCCCAGUCCAUGUAGAGCUUAUGUCCUGCUGGAGGAUAAAGGUAAUAGGCCAGGUAAGGUGGCUCACGCCUAUAAUCCUAGCACUUUGGGAGGCCAAGGCAGGAGGAUCUCUUGAGCUCAGAAGUUCGAGGCGAGCCUGGGCCUCCUGAGCCCAGGAGUUCGAGGCCAGCCUGGGCAACAUAGCAAGACCUGUCUCUACACACACAUACAAAAAAAUUAGAAAUAAAUUAGCCAGGCGUGGUGAUGUGCACCUAUAGUCCCAGCUAUUCUGGAGGCUGAGGUGGGAGGACAACUUGAACCCAGAAACUGGAGGAUGCAGUGAGCUAUGAUCAUGCCACUGCACUUAGCCUGGGAGAAAGAAUGAGACCCUAUCUCUAAAGGAAAAAAAAAGAUAAUAAAGUGAAACUCAUUUUUGAAGGAGUGAUUUCUGAAAUUGUUUAGUGCAGUGAGGAAAAGACAGUGGGAUAUUACAAUGGAGAGACGCUGGGCAUUGUGCAGCAAGACGGAGAAGUCAGGGAGGGCUGAGCUGGAUGGAAGUGGUGGGAAGGAGCCAGCCUGCAGAGAAGCAGAGCGUGUGCUCUGGCAGAGGGAGUGGCAGGGCAAAGGCCCUGGGCAGGAGCAGGGUCAGGGUCACAGCUGUGUGGCUGGAGUUCAGUGGGCCAGGGGGAGAGUGAUGGAAGGCAAGGUCAAGGUGGGCUGGGGCCAAACCCUGCAGUGCUUUGUCAGCCAUGGCAAGGAUUUGGGGUUUUAUUCUAAGUGCAUCUCAGAGUGCCGGCAUCUUUAUCUUGGGGUGAUGUUGGCAUAUUCCCACCAGGAUAAAUUAACAUUCUCACCUUAACAGAUCAUUGGGUAGAGACUAGAAAUGUACCGAGCAGUGCGCAAAGAAGAUGAGGAGGGUUCUACAGUUUCUCCAGAUACAUACCAUGACAAUUUGUUUUUUUAAAAAAGAAGAAAGCCUGCAGGUAAGUACAGCCGAAAGUAAAGAGGGCCACAGUAGAGGAGGGAACAAUGCCACACAACAUGAACAGCAAGGAGGGAGCAUUCCAUUCUGAGCAGAGGGACGCGAGGAGGUGGGGCCUGAAAGGACACAGGAGGCACUGACCCCCCGAGGCAAGGGAGAUGUGCCUUCUCUGGGAGACAGCGGCUUGGGAUGGUGGUGGGGCAGGUUCCCCGGGGAAGACCUGGACCAGGGGCUGGGGGUGGGAGUUGGAGAGGAGAGUGCAGUCUUGGGAGCAGAUUUAAAGUUAAGUGGCCUCCAUGGACCCCACAUGGCCCAGUCAGUUUGGACCCUCCUGGGAGAUCCUGAGUUCUGAGCCUAGGCGGUCUUGUCCUGCCUCUGCUGAGCACCCGGGCCAUGGCAGCCAUCAGGAUGCAGGAAGGUGGGGUCCCCUCCCAGCAGCUGGGAAAGCAUGAAGGAAGUUCAUUUCUCUGCAGCAGCUAUAGUGAUCGUGAGGAGAAGUAACUGAAAAGGUCAGACACACACUUCACUUACACAGCUCAUAAGUCAGUAAAGAAGCAAAGCCUGAGACUUCCUCAGGAGGUGAGUAAAUCCUCUGCCUUGCCAAGGCCUGCAAAGCUAGGCUUGGGGCCGGCCAGCCUAGGGGAGUGGCUUCUCCUGCUCUAGCUCCCAGUGCCCUCUGGCUUGGCUUUCUGAAGAGAGGGCUAGAGGAGCUGUGCCUCUAGAGUUCAAAAGAAAAGUACCUUAGGGAGGGAGUAUAGGGUUGCAGUCAAAAGAAUGGGCUCUGGACUCAUAAAAACAUCAGUUCAAAUUCAGACUCAUACCACUUAUUUGCUGUGUGAUUUUGGGCCACUCACACAACCUCUCUGAGCUGUCGUUUCCCCUCCAUACUGUAGGGCUGAUAAUAGUACCCAAACCAUAAGUCAUUGAGAGGAUUCAAUGAAGAUCAUACAAGUAAAAGAGUUAGAUCAAUGCCUAGGUUCCCACUGCAUAUUGGCUGUGGUUGUUAUCUUUAUCAUUUAAAUCAUUUAUUAUUAUUAACACUUUAAUUGUACAGCCUCCAAAAUGACCCCUGUGAUCCCUUCCCCCUGGUAUUCAUGCCUGCUAUUUAACCAGAAUAGGGUUGAUCUGUGUACUAAUAGGAGAUUGUGGGGACAGCAGAAUGUGACUUCCAAGGCUAGGUCCUGAAAGAUGCUGUGACUUUCGCCUGAGUCUCUUGGAUCACUCGCUCUGGGGGAGGACUGCUGUCAUGUCAUGAGGACACUCAGGCAUCCCCAUGGAAAAGUCUGCAUGGUGAGCACCCGAGACCUCCUACCCACAGCCAGCAUUAACUUACCUGCUCUGUGAGUGAGGCAGCUUGGAGGAAGAUCCCCCCACCCCAGAUAACCCCUAAAUGACAGCAGCUCCCACCAACAUCUUCUCUCCAAGCUCAUGAGGGAGUGUGAGUCAGAACCACCUAGCUAAGCUCGUGAAUUCCUGACCUGCAAAAACCGUGCGAGAUCACAAAUGUUCAUUUUUUUUAUUGAAGCCAUUAAGUUUUGGGGUGAUUUGUAAUGCAUAAAUAAUUAAUACAAUUAUUAUACUGAAAAUUUCUCACUAGGAAGUGGCCACUCAUUAGGCAGCCCCAGCCUUCAGGCUCUGUCCAGCCCAGUAAAAGUCAGUCAUUUUUGUGCCAAAGAUCCCUGAAAGAGACAGCAUCAUGUUUGGGUAUCACCUCCUCCAGAGAGCCUUCUUGGCCAAGUCAAGAGCUUUUCUCCAUGUGCCCACAGAAAGGCUCUUUGUAAUCCUCUACCACACUGCAUUGUCAUUCUGGGACCAAUCAUGUUUUCAUCUAGGCUUUGGCUACUAGGAGGCUCAGACCCAAAUUUUCAGGCCACUGCGAAGACUCUCAAUUUAUUCUUGCCCUAGUUUACUCAUCUAUUUGCUUUGUCCUGUUUUGUGUGUCCCUUGUGUAAAUUAUCACACAUCCUUUGUGAAAUGAGGCGGCAUGAAGCAAGUCCUUGCUGAAGGUCCAGGGCAUGGCAAGAGAACCUGAGUUUAAGAAGCAGACAUCACCUGCUGGCAGCAGGCAGUAUCCUCUCAGUCAGCCUUGAUGUCCCCUUCCCUGGAUCCUCACUUCUCAUGGCAAUCUCCCCGUCUCCUCAGGUGGGGAUGGGAUGAACAGGUUUGAUUAGCCCUUCACUGUAAAUGCCUGUCCUCUGUCACUGCACCAGGACUGAUAUGGUUUAGUUGUCCAUGGCUAUCAUCCAAACUUGAAGGUGGCACUUGUAAGGAAAAAACAAACCAACAAGCUAUCCUAAAAGGAGGCUGGCAGCAUGAGGAAGGGGCUUGCCAUCCCCUGUGCCAGUGCGGGAAGACCAGCCCAAGUGCCCACCCCACUGCGGGAGCAGACUCAGCUGUCCCCAAACCUGAAUGCAGGUAACAAGGGCAGCAGCCUGAGCAUCUCAGAGCCCAGAGGCAGAGCGUUAGCCGAUUGCUUCCAGCAUCAUCUGGGGCACAGUGGGGUCUUGGUUCCUCAAUGGGCCUGAGUGGAUCUAACUCUGCGAAGUUAGAUCCCAACAGCCAUCACAGUUUGCAGACAAUGUCAUUAAGACCAUCCAGAUAACUUCCUAACUCCAGUUUUGUGCCCACCAAGCAUCCUUCUGAUUUCAAAUUGGCCUCGCAUGCCAUGUGCAACUGGGAGAGAGUGUGUGGACAGAAAUGGGGCCAAUUGACUAUUUCCCUUGGCUGUCAUAUUUUUCAUUAAUAAACUAACUCUCCAGCCACAAAUACACACUCAGAAUGCCUCUUGCUACUCCAGAUCCUCCAUUCACUGUGAAGGCAAUCAUGGGGAUUAUGAAUUCCAUCUCCCAGGUGUGGAUUAAACUGCAUGCCAGGGGAGGUUUCUGUGGUUCCAAUCUACCCCGCUUAGUACAUCAGAGCUCAACAGGAUCAGGUCAAAGCUGGAAGGAUCCUGAGAGCCCACAGAAAUAAUGACUCCUGUGCUGAGGUUCACAGGAGUAGCACUGGGGUCUGUGAAUUCUUGGCAAAAAUUCAGAAAACCUAAGGGAAUCCAUGCAUUAGCUGAUAAUGAGGCCAUACAGACUAACUAAAGCAUCAGCCACCUCAUUAAACUGGGAAGCUUAAUACUGUUUUUAUUGCACAAUCAUUUCUAAAUGUCUUUUAUUAAUAAAAUUGGGGAAAUGAAUUUGUUAUUCUUUAAUAAGUGCAGUGUGUUUAGCUGACAAAAUUUUUACAAAGAUGGGGAUCAAUGGGUUGCAAGAAUACUAAAAGAUGUUCUUGUUCUGCAGGGUUGGAAGCCCCUAAGCCACCAUGCACUACCCAUCAUUUUACAAAAGAAGGAGAAACUGAGGAACAAAGAAACACAUAUUUUCCCUCAAGCUUCAGAUUCCCUUUAAACUCUUAGGAUAUCCCAUAACCCCCUGUAGCUUAUGGCAGCUAGAUUCAUGACAGACAAUCUCUCUAGAGUCAAUUUGGUUUUUCUCUUAACUCACUCAAGCCUCUGGGAAUGAAAGGUCUAGCCCUUGAAGGCUACUUUUGGUAGAAGACGAGGUUCAGUAUUAAAAAGGAGGACAGAGGAUGGAAAAGAACACAACUACAUCAAUAGUUUCUCCACAUUAUUUGAUGUUCAGAACAGUCCCAUGAAGAAGAUAUAAUAUUCCCUUUCUACAGACCAAAAAAUUAAUAUUUGGAGAGGUAGAAAGACCACCCAAGGGAACACAUAUUUAGACGGAAAGCCCAGUUCUGUCUAGUGUUUAAGUCCUGGCCCAUUCAGCUACUCUGCUCUGUAACUAUCACCCAUUUCAGCACCGCGGACAGAGGCAGAGCCCUCAGUCUUCCCUGUAGGUGGGAUGGAGGCAGAGGGUGGUAAGAUGGGUGCUAAGUCCCAGGGAAGAUAUGUAUCCACCAAAGUGCCUGAAUGAUGAGAGGGAAGUCAGAGCUAAGGAAGGACACAUCAUGGACAUCUCUUUACAUGUGUAUCAAAUUGCGUUCUGUUUAGAACCAUUUUCUAGCCUCCCACCAAGGACGUAAACAGGACAAGCACUGUCAUCUGUAAAGUGCCACUCCCAGACUGCCACCCAGAGUUCAUAAAAGGCUCAGAUGAAUCAAUAGGUGGGAAAGUUAUCUGGAAUUUAUAAAAAUUCACUGUUAAGGAGACGACUAUCACAGACAAACCCCAAAAUCAGCGGUUUAACACAAUAGACAUUUUUUCUGACUUGUGUAAAGCCCCAGACAGGGAUUGCUGCCUGUCAAAAGGCCUGACUGGCACUUGUCUUGAGGCACACUCUGGUGCCCAGGCCCCUUGCUCCUUGUUGCUCUGCCACCUCUGAAGUGGCUUCUAAGGUCACUGUAUUUAUCUGUGUCAAGACAGAGGAAAAAAUCAUGAAUAAAUAAACCCAGGGAGAUUUGUAUGAGCCAAGCCUGAAAUUGGCACACAUCACUUUGGCUCAUACGUGGAGGACUGGGAGUGCAGAAAGAUGAGGAAAUGGGUCUUACUGAACACAGAACCACAGAACUCUGUCUCCCUCCUCUCCAAAGCUGAGAAAUUGCCACAAUCAGAAAGUGUGAUUCCCAUCUGAGAGUUUAAGAGCAGGAAUAGAUUAAAGACAAAUCAUGUAAAAUACCUUGACUCCUAGACUUGCCGAAGCAUUCAGCCUGAGCCAUCUUUACAUGUGGAUAAUCUUGGAUUUCCCAACUGGGCUUCUUGCACACUCCAUGGUAGAACGUCAGAGGAAAUUUUUUUCAAGCAAGAGCUGUUAGAUCAUGAGAUUCCCCAGAAAGAUACAGAUACAGGUAUAUGUCAUAUUACUGGAGAUUCUAAUUCAGCUACCUUCACAGGCCUGGGAAUGUGUUUUUGACACAGGGGCAUUAGGAUUGUUUCAGCUGCAAGUGACAGAAGUCUAGCUCACACGGUCUUAAGCAAGAAAGGAAAUGUAUUGAUUCCUAUAAGUGCACCAGGAUCUAGAUACACUGUCAGGCACAGCUGGAUGCAGACUCCAACAGUCUCAUUGGGAUACCCACCCUCUCCUCCCAUCUCUGACCAUCCCAGGUGGCUCCCUUCAUGGGUCAAAGUGGCCACCAGAAGCUCCAGAUACAUCUUUUUAUCAACAGCCCCAGGAGAACUUCUCUUUCUCAGUAAAAUCCCACAAGGUAUUUUUUGGCACUAAUUGUCUUGGCUUGGUCCCAUUCUUAUCCCUGAACCAACCACUGUGACCAAAAACGUGGUAUUCUCUGAUUAUCCAAGCCUGAUUCACGAGCCCACCCAUGAGUCUGAUAUGAGGUCCAGUCCAUACAAUCUACACAAGCUAGGUCUGGGGCAUGGUGGUGCCCCAAGGACAGCUGGGGUGCCUUUCCUAGAAGAAAGGGGGCAGGGAAUGGGUGCUGGACCAGCAUCAGCAGCAGAAUUCUUAGGCACUAGACUGUGGGGGGCUCAGAGAGGCAUGGGAGCCCUGAGGUCCCCACAAGGUGUGGGAUAGUCUUUCAGACCUUCAGGGGGGGUCUCUGCUCACUAACCUGCUCAAAGCACCCUGGCCCACACCGUGGGCAGCUGGAAGGUGCCAGUCCACUGAACAUGUGUGAUUGGCAUGAAUCUCCUGCUUUCCUUUGUCAGAAGGCUAGGAGUGGAUUUGACCCGUUUACUCAGACCCUCUCAGUGGCCCUGCUCCCACAGGCUCACCCCAGCAGGGCCCAGUGCUUGGCUGCCAAUGACGCCAAGGAUAUUAGCUGACAGUGACUUAAAACAGGGGUUCAUGACCUCAGGGUAACCGAGGAACCCCUGAAUCUGAAUUCAUCAGUCUGUGUAUAUGAAUGUGAGUGCCUCUCCUUUCCCCACAGGAAAAAAUCUACAACUUUCAUCAAAUUACUCAGGGAGACUUUAUUCUAAAGAGACUGAAAACGACCAACAUCAAUUUUGACUCCUAUGGGCAUCUGUAAAUAGCUUCAAGGUUUUAAGGUGAAAUGUCAUGUACCAAAAUACACAUUCUGGAGAAGCAGGAAGCUACAGACCAACUUGAGAUGAAAGUCUCAUAUCAAUGUUUUCCCAAGUGUGCUCCUUGGAAUACAGGUUGACAUGAUAUGAUGCCCAGCAAGGGAAACAAAACAUAUUCAUGUUCAAAUUAGUUGGGGAAAUGCUGGACUAAAUAAGGUUUGAUGGGAUUCUUUUUUCUGCAGGACUUCUCAGAAGGGGCUAGAGUAGGCAAAGUUUCCCAGAUUUACCUAAUAAAAGCAUUGUUUCUGUGGGAGUUUCAUUUGUUAUUACAUGUUUCCUGAAUGCAGAUUCAUAGACUAUCCUUUGGGGAACCCUCGUCCUCACGGGAUGUAUGUUCAUGGUGGUGUCUUCGAGUUUGUGCCCUUGUGAAGCAUUCUGGCAGCAAGCAUCUGAACACUUCCAAAAGGGGGCGAUAUUUAGGAGAAAUCGCUCAGCCUGAGUUAGAACAAAUGCAGCUGCUGGUGUCUCUUGGUGCCUGGGAGCCCUAGAGUGUCAGAGGGAGGAGCGUGCACACUGGAACCAGCAGCCUGGUGCUGCGUCUCAGCUCUGUCGCUAACUGGCUAUGCACCUCUGGGCAUGGCACUUAACCCUUCUGAGCCCCAGCCCGCCAUCUGUAAAAAGGGCUUGAUGUGAGGAUUGAAUGAGAUCAUGCAGGGAACACAAUGUCUGGCACUUGGAAGCGUCCACCAUAAAGAGCCAAGGCAGUAGAUGGCCCAGCUGGGUUUGGUCCAGGCAGAGUUUACCCUCUGCCCUGGAGGCUCCAGGAAAUGCUGCCACGUGGCUCCUAUUGCCUUAACCACAUCCGACCUGUUCCUGACAGCUCCCCACAUCUCCAGCUCCUUUGCUGGUGCUCCAGGCACCUCCAAACGUGGCGAGCCCCUCUCCCCUGCCCUCUUGUGGCAGCUGACCUGGCAGGAGUGGGACCAAGACAUCCAAGGCAGCUCCUUUCCACCUGCAUGGGCACUUUCCUCAGGACAUCCUUGCCCCUGGCACCACCUUGGGCCAGCAAGCCACAUGGAAAUGGAUGCAGAGGCACCACUGUUUGCUGACAAUUAUACACUGUCCUUAAGGUCACCCUUGGCGAUCUGUCACCAGGAGCAGACAAACCCACACCUCAACCAUCCCAUCAGAGCUUGUUUCUAUCUGCAUCUGUCAUCGCUGAUCGCAUUUGAAUGGGUUUAGUCUCUAUUUUAAAUAAAAGAUUUAUGCCUUAGCUGUCAGAGCCUGCCUUUAUUUGAAAAUUUAAUCUUGUUUCUAGGAGUCUAGAUUAACUUAUUAGAUUUAGGCGUCCCUCGUGGGUCUCUGAGAGAGGAGGAGUAGAUUCUCCUCCCUGCAUUCGGCCCUGCACACCCGACAGUGAGAGCCAAGAGCUGGAUGGGCUUCUCCAUCCAGCACGCCCAGGCUGGACAGAGGCCCCCAACUCAGGCAACUUUGUCGGGUAACCGUGUGUCCAGGGAGUGCUUUCUUGCACGCUCCGUCUCCGGGCCAGCUUCCAGGACCUGUGCUCACUGCAAGGGACACCCAUCAAGCCGGCCCUUUCUCAGAGGUUUUGGGGAGGCUUCAGGAAGGACCCCCAGUGGGGGCCCAGCUUGUCAACAUGGGCUGUGCCAAGGAGUUCUGAGUUUCCUUCAGGUCUGUAUUGUAUCUUCCACCCCCUCAGAGCUCCCUCCCUACUGCUUAGACCACACGAAGCUGUGGGGCUGUGGGCAGCCAGUUCACUUCCCUGACCUUGUCUGCAGGUGGAGACAGUGGCAGUGCCCCUCCCGGGCUGCUGCGUCACUCAGUGUAAAAGCAGGGAGGCACUGGAGAGCUGCUGUCUGCAAGUUUGUUGCUACUUCAAAAGGUGCAGGUGGGCCCUCACCUCCUUUAGAGGUGAGGAUGAGCUACCCAAAGUGAAAAGGAGCUUCUCAGCGUCGCAAUGGAGUCACGGCCAGGCUGCCCACACCAGCCGUCCGGACCUGCACCAGUGCCACGGGGUCUGCCCCAUCUUCUCUUCCCUCUCCUUCCCCUCUCCCUCUCUCUCCCUGUCUCUUUCUCCUCUCUCCAUGCUAUUGACUGAAUGUUUGAAUUCCCUGCAAAUGCAUUCCUAACCCCCAAUGUGACUGUGUUUGGAGACAGGGUCUUUAGGAGGUAACUGAGGUUAAAUGAGGUUGUAAAGAUGGGGCCCUGAACCGAUGGGACUGGGGUCCUUAUGAGAAGAGGAAAAGGGGUCCCUCCCCAUGGAGGGACGACCACAGCGAGGCAGCAGCCGCCCACACGCCAGAGAAGGGGACUCAGACGGAAGCCUUGCUUCACCGGCACCUUGAUCUUGACUCCUAGCCUCCAGAAUUGUGAUAAAUAAAUUUCUGUUGCUUAAGCCCCCAA